UGCCAACCGCCGUUAAACUGGAAAGAAGUUACAAUGAGUUACAAUGGUUAUGAAAAUGUCUGCAGACUGGUGUGUGCACUGAGGAUGGAGAAGUCCACUGCAGCAUCUGAAAAUGGUCCAGAGACACGGAUGAGACGCUCCAUCACUCCAGCUCUUACUGUCUCAUCAGGACCAGAUGCUGCUGUGGUCUCUUCAUCCUCAGUGACCCCAGCAGCCAGAGCAUCUAGAGAAAGACCAAAAGACACUGAGGAUUUGAUUUUG
Long non-coding RNA from Cyprinus carpio carpio, 261 nucleotides. The record is from Ensembl. Lineage: Eukaryota; Metazoa; Chordata; Actinopteri; Cypriniformes; Cyprinidae.